CCUACGGGGGGCAGCAGUGGGGAAUAUUGGACAAUGGGGGGAACCCUGAUCCAGCCAUGCCGCGUGUGUGAAGAAGGCCCUCGGGUUGUAAAGCACUUUCAGUGAGGAAGAACGCCUGGUGGUUAAUACCCAUCAGGAAAGACAUCACUCACAGAAGAAGCACCGGCUAACUCCGUGCCAGCAGCCGCGGUAAUACGGAGGGUGCGAGCGUUAAUCGGAAUUACUGGGCGUAAAGCGCGCGUAGGUGGCUUGAUAAGCCGGUUGUGAAAGCCCCGGGCUCAACCUGGGAACUGCAUCCGGAACUGUCAAGCUAGAGUGCAGGAGAGGAAGGUAGAAUUCCCGGUGUAGCGGUGAAAUGCGUAGAGAUCGGGAGGAAUACCAGUGGCGAAGGCAGCCUUCUGGACUGACACUGACACUGAGGUGCGAAAGCGUGGGUAGCAAACAGGAUUAGAUACCCCAGUAGUC
RNAcentral lists this ribosomal RNA (465 nucleotides) under Vreelandella stevensii. RNAcentral describes it as "partial 16S ribosomal RNA". It matches the Rfam family "Bacterial small subunit ribosomal RNA", at positions 338 to 795 of the family's 1533-position model. Lineage: Bacteria; Pseudomonadati; Pseudomonadota; Gammaproteobacteria; Oceanospirillales; Halomonadaceae. The record is from RNAcentral.